Molecule: small nucleolar RNA, 138 nt
Filed under: Ornithorhynchus anatinus (platypus)
Lineage: Eukaryota; Metazoa; Chordata; Mammalia; Monotremata; Ornithorhynchidae
Source: RNAcentral
CACCUCUCAAGGUCGCACCUGCAGAAUUUCCAGUACCCUACCAGUUUUGACUACAGGAGGGAGAGUCAAGCAGAGGCCUAUCCAUUCCAUUCCUAGCUUGGGCAGUGGCUAGCGAAUGGAAGGCAAUCUGCUAUAUGU